Molecule: small RNA, 22 nt
Filed under: Arabidopsis thaliana (thale cress)
Lineage: Eukaryota; Viridiplantae; Streptophyta; Magnoliopsida; Brassicales; Brassicaceae
Description: Ath_wt_08096
Source: RNAcentral
GCGGAUGCUAACGCAAUGUGAU